RNAcentral lists this unclassified non-coding RNA (210 nucleotides) under Hevea brasiliensis (rubber tree). Lineage: Eukaryota; Viridiplantae; Streptophyta; Magnoliopsida; Malpighiales; Euphorbiaceae. The record is from RNAcentral.
UCCUGUAAUAUAUUCACAAACAGACUCAGUUAUAUCACAGUGAACCAGAAAGCGCAAUAACUCCCAUGCGUUUGACCUGGGCCUCUUCUUUUAAACUAAAAGGUGGCGAGGGCUUGGAUAUGUCCGGUCGUUUAGGUUUUCUUCUUCUUCUUCUUUCAGUCUCGGUUCUCGUCUUCCCUGCAAGUCUUUGUUUGUGUUUUUCUAUUUAUU